GGCUGCAACUCGCCUACACGAAGUCGGAAUCGCUAGUAAUCGCGGAUCAGCAUGCCGCGGUGAAUACGUUCCCGGGCCUUGUACACACCGCCCGUCACACCAUGGAAGUUUGCAAUGCCCAAAGUCGGUGGCCUAACCAUUUGGAGGGAACCGCCUAAGGCAGGGCAGAUGACUGGGGUGAAGUCGUAACAAGGUAUC
This 198-nucleotide ribosomal RNA is filed under the name uncultured bacterium. RNAcentral describes it as "partial 16S ribosomal RNA". It matches the Rfam family "Bacterial small subunit ribosomal RNA", at positions 1303 to 1500 of the family's 1533-position model. The record is from RNAcentral.